CAGAAAAACAAUUCUAUUGUGGCACAUUGUGAAUAACGUAGAUAAAGGAACAAGAGAAACAGAUAUACAGGAAAUUAGAGCUAAUAUCAAAAUAAAGCAUAUCUAACCAACCAAUGAAUAAUAGCAAAAAUAUGAUGUAAAAGUAAAGCAAAAAAUCCUUCCAGUAUGAAGGAAAAACCAAUCUCCAAAAAUGAAAAUCACUAAAACAGCCAAUUACAACGUCAUAACAAUUAGAUGAGUUCACAUCAGUCGUCGAGAUUGUAGAGUAUCUUCUUAAAAGACUAAAAUUGAAAGACCUAAAAAUAUCACAAACAAACACAUUUAGGAUAUAAAAACCACCUCCCUUCAGCUUUAAGUGGAUAUUCCCUCGAUCGAUCGAAACUUAAAUACCAAUAUGCAAAAAACAUACUCGUGAAAAAAAUCCGAAUACUCUACCACAGAAGUUAUUUUAAUACGAACAUAUAUACACGCGUUAAUAAGAUAAAAAAUGUUCUACAGAGAGAGAGAGUACCGAUGUGAAGGAAACUGAAACGUCGGCCAAGGGUUUCUGCGUGAAGGAAACUUCGAACCUACCCCUUUCCUUCAAUUUGCAGCAAAACAGAACAGAACUACAGAUAUCGAUAUAUAUGUAUAAUUUUUUGCUUUUCAAAUCGAUUUUAGCCCUUGUUUGACAAGAAUUAAAAAUUUAACACAGUUUUCUUUAAAAAAAAUAAUAAAAAAAAUACUAUUUUAUAAUACAUUUUACCAAAAUUUUUCUUUAUAACGCGUGUGAAACAAGGGUUUAAAGAGACGUGGCCGAUAAACUUUUCAUACCAAUACUUGAAGAAAAAUUAUAUAUUAAUCUGCGUGCUAAUCAGACCAUAAAUUGCGGGAUUUUAAAGUUUUUGGGUAGUAGAGGGGCUUUGGUGCGGGGCGCGCGUCGGUUGGGAUUUGGGUUGAGUUAGACUCCUUUUCUCUAUCAUAAAAUUAAGUUGAUCUUUG
Molecule: long non-coding RNA, 981 nt
Filed under: Olea europaea (common olive)
Lineage: Eukaryota; Viridiplantae; Streptophyta; Magnoliopsida; Lamiales; Oleaceae
Description: long non-coding RNA (OEUR_LNC012635)
Source: RNAcentral